RNAcentral lists this unclassified non-coding RNA (1405 nucleotides) under uncultured Neocallimastigales. RNAcentral describes it as "partial contains small subunit ribosomal RNA, internal transcribed spacer 1, 5.8S ribosomal RNA, internal transcribed spacer 2, and large subunit ribosomal RNA". The stretch from base 625 to 1405 matches the Rfam family "Eukaryotic large subunit ribosomal RNA", at positions 1 to 630 of the family's 3401-position model. Lineage: Eukaryota; Fungi; Neocallimastigomycota; Neocallimastigomycetes; Neocallimastigales. The record is from RNAcentral.
UGGAAGUAAAAGUCGUAACAGGUUUCCGUAGGUGAACCUGCGGAAGGAUCAUUAAAAAUGUGGUACCAAUUAUUGGUACUAAUUAAUCAUCCUACCCUUUGUGAAUUUGUUUGUAUGAAUUUUUUUAAAUGGGUCUUUCCCUAAGUUGGAUUGUUAGUAAAAUACAAAAAGACUUAGGGGAAUGACUUUUUUAAAAGACUUUUUUUAAUUAAAACUUUUUGUAUUCAUUUGUCUAAAAUUUAUUUUUAUAAUAUAAAAACAACUUUUGACAAUGGAUCUCUUGGUUCUCGCAACGAUGAAGAACGCAGCAAAAUGCGAUAAGUAGUGUGAAUUGCAGAAUACGUGAAUCAUCGAAUCUUCGAACGCAUAUUGCACUUUUUUAGUUUACUAAAAAAGUAUGUCUGUUUGAGUAUCAGUAAAAUAUUCUCACAAACAUAUAUUGUUUGUGGUUAUGAGUGUUUUACAACGAUAAACAAGUUGUUUCACUUUAAAUUCUUUAUUGAAGUUUUAUACCAAUUUCAAAUUAAAAUUGGAUAAAAUUUUCCUUUAACGAGGAAUAACCUAAACAAUUUUAAAUUUUAUGGAUUGUAAAAUCCAUCAAAGGAAUCUAUAACAUAAAUAACUUGAUCUCAAAUCAGAUAAGAGUACCCGCUGAACUUAAGCAUAUCAAUAAGCGGAGGAAAAGAGACUAACAAGGAUUCCCUUAGUAACGGCGAGUGAAGCGGGAAGAGCUCAAAUUUGAAAUCUUCAAGGUUUGACCUUGACGAAUUGUAGUUUAUAGAAGUGUUUUCUGUUGGAGUUUUGGUAAAGUUCUUUGGAAUAGGACAUCAUAGAGGGUGAGAAUCCCGUAUUUGACCAUGACUUUCCAGCUGUGUGAUACACUUUCAAAGAGUCGGAUUGUUUGGGAAUGCAGUCCAAAAUGGGUGGUAAAUUUCAUCUAAAGCUAAAUAUUGGCGAGAGACCGAUAGCGAACAAGUACCGUGAGGGAAAGAUGAAAAGAACUUUGAAAAGAGAGUUAAACAGUACGUGAAAUUGUCAAAAGGGAAGCGUUUGACACCAGUGUUGUUUUCUCGAAAAUCAAUUUAAUGAGUUCUUGUUUUUAAGUUAUUGUGACUUUAUCAGCGCAUUUCUUAUUUUACUUGACUCGUUGAAUGCACUUUUCGUUUAACAAGUCAACAUCAAUUUCUUUGGUGGUAAAAAGUUUAAAGGAAGGUGGCUUGGACUUCGGUUCAAGUGUUUAUAGCCUUUUUUCUAUGCCAUCGGAGAGAUUGAGGUCUGCAGCGUAGAUCCUUCGGGGUUAGAUACCUUUGUGCUAAGUUAUAGCUUUUUAUAGACAACUUGUUGACUAUAAUUAACCCUGUAAUUUACUCGCUUAGGCUAUUUUACCUACGCUUAGGAUGUUGAG